GCGAUGAGCUAUUUGCGUAAGUCGGAGGCAAAGCUUUCGAGCUAACGUAUGAAUGUGGUCAUACGGCACUUCGCCGCAAAACGUAAGGAAAGACGCCUGACGAAUUUCAGGCGUC
This 115-nucleotide small RNA is filed under the name Heyndrickxia shackletonii. RNAcentral describes it as "Bacillus shackletonii BsrF". It matches the Rfam family "BsrF". Lineage: Bacteria; Bacillati; Bacillota; Bacilli; Caryophanales; Bacillaceae. The record is from Rfam by way of RNAcentral.